AAUAUUGAAAUGUUAUAUGUUUAUUGAACAGUUGGUGAAAUAAGCAUUACACAUAAGUUAUAAUAAACUUAAGUUAACAUAUCACCAUAGUUGGAAGGUUGAUCCGAGCUAAAAAGUUGUACGCUAAGUCUUUCAUUAAGGUUGGAAUGUUCAACCGUGGUAAAAUAUCUAAAAAACUCUCAAAAUACUUGCUUUGAGUAUGGAACACAU
RNAcentral lists this long non-coding RNA (210 nucleotides) under Lathyrus oleraceus (garden pea). RNAcentral describes it as "Pisum sativum (pea) long non-coding RNA (PSAT_LNC017311)". Lineage: Eukaryota; Viridiplantae; Streptophyta; Magnoliopsida; Fabales; Fabaceae. The record is from RNAcentral.